AUCUAUGGCUGUACCACCCUGAAGGUGCCUGAUCUCAUCUGAUCUUAGAAGCUAAGCAGGGUCAGGCCUGGUUAGUACUUGGAUGGGGGAAAAGCAAUGCCCCAAGGAUCCUGUGCCACACAGGUAGCUGUGGAUC
This 136-nucleotide ribosomal RNA is filed under the name Cebus imitator (Panamanian white-faced capuchin). The record is from RNAcentral. Lineage: Eukaryota; Metazoa; Chordata; Mammalia; Primates; Cebidae.